RNAcentral lists this transfer RNA (72 nucleotides) under Ovis aries (sheep). It matches the Rfam family "tRNA". From Rfam's summary of the family: Transfer RNA (tRNA) molecules are approximately 80 nucleotides in length. Their secondary structure includes four short double-helical elements and three loops (D, anti-codon, and T loops). Further hydrogen bonds mediate the characteristic L-shaped molecular structure. tRNAs have two regions of fundamental functional importance: the anti-codon, which is responsible for specific mRNA codon recognition, and the 3' end, to which the tRNAs corresponding amino acid is attached (by aminoacyl-tRNA synthetases). tRNAs cope with the degeneracy of the genetic code in two manners: having more than one tRNA (with a specific anti-codon) for a particular amino acid; and 'wobble' base-pairing, i.e. permitting non-standard base-pairing at the 3rd anti-codon position. The record is from Rfam by way of RNAcentral. Lineage: Eukaryota; Metazoa; Chordata; Mammalia; Artiodactyla; Bovidae.
UCCCUGGUGGCUCAGAUGGUAAAGUGUCUGCCUGCAACACGGGGGACCCAGGUUCGAUUCCUGGGUCGGGAA